AUGUUGAGAGCUUGCAAUGUAAUGAGGACCCUACUCGGUGAUUACAUGCUUUUUUCUUUUUUAAUCCCUACAGAUAUCCUGAGAGGUGAGGAUUACCACCAUUUCAAGUUUAACAACGAGGCUGACUUUACCUGUCGUUCUGUGGUAGAGCCGUGCUCUGAAUUCAGGACUAUGACACAUGUCCAGAUCCACUGUCCAGCAGUCUCAAGAAGGCAGUGCUUAAACUUCCAGAGAAAAAGUGAGGAGCCAAGAAGAUGCCAAGGACAUUAUGCUAAUGUAUAUAAAUACAUACAGAGCCCUCCGCACUGGAAGCUUUGAGCUUCGCAGGUGAGGUAAGUGAGUGGCCCGGAAAACUAUCAGUCUAAGAUUGCUCCUUAAAAACAGGCUUGAAUGGACAAAAUUUUCAUUGGCUGAGUUUGAGAUCAACUAUAAGGAGAAGUCUGAUGGUGAAAUACUGCUGGACAGAGUGAACUGGUAUGAAUUUAUUUUAGAGAAAUAUUUUUAUCCUUGACAUCAUAAGCCUGAAUUAAGAAGAAUGCUUGAAAAUUAAUUGCACCUCUAUUCAAAAAUGGAGAUGAGCCAGUACACACAGGCCAAGAAAAGCCUUGUUAGCUGAGUGUGUUAUGCAAAAGCUCAGGUGCCUUUGGGAAUUGAGCAGGAAAGAAAGGGCUGAAGGACCUGAAGGAUAUUUAUUUAUUGCAGAUAUUAGCCAGUUUCACCAAGGCAGAAUUAUCUCCUUGGAAGUGAUAGUAAAAUACUUACCAGGAUUAAGCUUUUCCAUGAAGAAACAGAAAAAAAUAACCCCAGCUCUCUUCAUGACUUUGCCUUAGCUGUCCUAAUUGCAGUUGCAAAGGGUGGAGGGAAGAAGGGAGGGACAGACGGACAGAAGGGGAAAAUGACAACUCUUACUUCUUUGUCUAAAAGACAAGGAUAAUGUUCACAGUGAGCCUAAGAUCAUAGUAUCUAAAAUAUCCCCACCACUAUCCCACUGUAUCCUCUUUCCCUGCUGUAUUUUUCUUUAUAGUGCUCCUCAAUACUGGACAUUAGCAUCUAUCACUUGGCUGUUUGCUGUUUGGCAUAUAGUUUCUCCACUGCUAUGUAAAUUGCAGGCAGCCUGUGUCAUGUCACCGAAGCUGCCCUCCAGCUCCCAGAACGGUGGCUAGAAGAGGAAGCAUGCAAUAAAUAUUUGUGGAAUAACA
RNAcentral lists this long non-coding RNA (1199 nucleotides) under Sus scrofa (pig). Its description in RNAcentral is "lncRNA (ENSSSCG00065052927.1)". Lineage: Eukaryota; Metazoa; Chordata; Mammalia; Artiodactyla; Suidae. The record is from RNAcentral.